RNAcentral lists this transfer RNA (73 nucleotides) under Sphaerodactylus townsendi. RNAcentral's name for it is "tRNA-Thr". It matches the Rfam family "tRNA". Rfam says of the family: Transfer RNA (tRNA) molecules are approximately 80 nucleotides in length. The record is from RNAcentral. Lineage: Eukaryota; Metazoa; Chordata; Lepidosauria; Squamata; Sphaerodactylidae.
GGGGCUGUGGCUCAGUGGUGGAGUGUCUGCCUGGUAUGCUAGAAGAUCUCAAGUUCGAUUCCCGGCAUCUCCA